CCCUUAGAUGUCCUGGGCCGCACGCGUGCUACACUGAUGCAUACAGCGAGUACUCCCAGCUCCGAGAGGCUGCUGGUAAUCAGCAAUAUGCAUCGUGAUGGGGAUAGAUCUUUGGAAUUAUAGAUCUUGAACGAGGAAUUCCUAGUAAUCGCAGGUCAUCACCCUGCGUUGACUAAGUCCCUGCCCUUUGUACACACCGCCCGUCGCUCCUACCGAUUUCGAGCGAUCCGGUGAAUCAUUCGGACCGCGGCCCCUAGGCAUGCGGAAAGUCUAGUAAACCAUAUCACUUAGAGGAAGGAGAAGUCGUAACA
Molecule: ribosomal RNA, 311 nt
Filed under: uncultured eukaryote
Lineage: Eukaryota
Description: partial 18S ribosomal RNA
Rfam family: Eukaryotic small subunit ribosomal RNA
Source: RNAcentral